CUUCAACAAUUAUUACCGUUCAAGACUGGGUUUACAUUUGAUUUUCCACUUAGCAGUGAGUUUCUUCAAUGGAAGGAAUGAAUUUACAUCAUUUGAAGCAAGGUCUGUAUGUACCUGAUGAAGGACCUGAUGCUCCCCAUUUCAAUAGGUACUGAGAAGAGGAGUGAAGAGAGAUAUGAUUACUGCUUUCCUGGCUCUUCCCAGUUGGAGUGACUCCAUCCAUGAGGUAACUGGAGACUGCCAGGACAAAGAACUCUGGUUCCCACUGCCUACUGCGAUUCACCUGUCCCAACAUUCCAACAUUUACAGUGGGUGCACAGCUCAGGUUUUUAGUCUGGGCCACUUAUAACAUAAACUUUUG
Long non-coding RNA from Heterocephalus glaber (naked mole-rat), 361 nucleotides. The record is from Ensembl. Lineage: Eukaryota; Metazoa; Chordata; Mammalia; Rodentia; Bathyergidae.